Molecule: ribosomal RNA, 229 nt
Filed under: uncultured bacterium
Lineage: Bacteria
Description: partial 16S ribosomal RNA
Rfam family: Bacterial small subunit ribosomal RNA
Source: RNAcentral
UGCGUAGGCGGACUAAUAAGUCAGUGGUGAAAUCUCUCGGCUCAACCGGGAAACUGCCAUUGAUACUGUUAGUCUUGAGUUCGGUUGAGGUAGGCGGAAUGUGUAAUGUAGCGGUGAAAUGCUUAGAUAUUACACAGAACACCAAUUGCGUAGGCAGCUUACUAGACCGACACUGACGCUGAGGCAUGAAAGCGUGGGUAGCGAACAGGAUUAGAUACCCUGGUAGUCC